RNAcentral lists this ribosomal RNA (1371 nucleotides) under Brinjal little leaf phytoplasma. RNAcentral describes it as "bacterial SSU rRNA". It matches the Rfam family "Bacterial small subunit ribosomal RNA", at positions 90 to 1452 of the family's 1533-position model. The record is from RNAcentral. Lineage: Bacteria; Bacillati; Mycoplasmatota; Mollicutes; Acholeplasmatales; Acholeplasmataceae.
UUUUAGUGGCGAACGGGUGAGUAACACGUAAGUAACCUGCCUUUAAGACGAGGAUAACAACCGGAAGGUUACUAAGACUGGAUAGGAAACAAAAAGGCAUCUUUUUGUUUUUAAAAGACCUUCUUACGAAGGUAUGCUUAAAGAGGGGCUUGCGCCACAUUAGUUAGUUGGUAGAGUAAAAGCCUACCAAGACGAUGAUGUGUAGCUGGACUGAGAGGUUGAACAGCCACAUUGGGACUGAGACACGGCCCAAACUCCUACGGGAGGCAGCAGUAGGGAAUUUUCGGCAAUGGAGGAAACUCUCACCGAGCAACGCCGCGUGAACGAUGAACUAUUUCGGUAUGUAAAGUUCUUUUAUUGAAGCAGAAAAAGUAGUGCAAAAACUAUAUUCACGUUGUUCAAUGAAUAAGCCCCUGCCUAACUAUGCUGCCAGCAGCCCUCGUAAGACAUCAGGGGCCCGACCCUUAUCCCGAAUUAUUGGGCGUAAAAGGAUGCGUAGGCUGUUAGAUAAGUCUAUAAUUUAAUUUCAGUGCUUAACGCUGUCUUGUUAUAGAAACUGUCUUGACUAGAGUGAGAUAGAGGCAAGCGGAAUUCCAUGUGUAGCGGUGAAAUGUGUAAAUAUAUGGAGGAACACCAGAAGCGUAGGCGGCUUGCUGGGUCUUUACUGACGCUGAGGCACGAAAGCGUGGGUAGCAAACAGGAUUAGAUACCCUGGUAGUCCACGCCGUAAACGAUGAGCACUAAGUGUCGGGGUAAAACUCGGUACUGAAGUUAACACAUUAAGUACUCCGCCUGAGUAGUACGUACGCAAGGUAUGAAACUUAAAGGAAUUGACGGGACUCCGCACAAGCGGUGGAUCAUGUUGUUUAAUUCGAAGAUACACGAAAAAUCUUACCAGGUCUUGACAUACUCUGCAAAGCUAUAGAAAUAUAGUGGAGGUUAUCAGGGAUACAGGUGGUGCAUGGUUGUCGUCAGUUCGUGUCGUGAGACUGUUAGGUUAAGUCCUAAAACGAACGCAACCCUUGUCGUUAAUUGCCAGCGGAUAAUGGUGGGGACUUUAACGAGACUGCCAAUUAAACAUUGGAGGAAGGUGAGGAUUACGUCAAAUCAUCAUGCCCCUUAUGAUCUGGGCUACAAACGUGAUACAAUGGCUGUGACAAAGAGUAGCUGAAACGCGAGUUUUUAGCCAAUCUCAAAAAAGCAGUCUCAGUUCGGAUUGAAGUCUGUAACUCGACUUCAUGAAGUUGGAAUCGCUAGUAAUCGCGAAUCAGCAUGUCGCGGUGAAUACGUUCUCGGGGUUUGUACACACCGCCCGUCAAACCACGAAAGUUAGCAAUGCCCGAAAGCAGUAGCUUAACUUCGCAAGAAGAG